RNAcentral lists this ribosomal RNA (420 nucleotides) under uncultured bacterium. RNAcentral's name for it is "SSU rRNA". It matches the Rfam family "Bacterial small subunit ribosomal RNA", at positions 370 to 808 of the family's 1533-position model. The record is from RNAcentral.
CAUGGGGGAACCCUGAUGCAGCGACGCCGCGUGGAGGAAGAAGGUCUUCCGAUUGUAAACUCCUGUUGUUGAGGAAGAUAAUGACGGUACUCAACAAGGAAGUGACGGCUAACUACGUGCCAGCAGCCGCGGUAAAACGUAGGUCACAAGCGUUGUCCGGAAUUACUGGGUGUAAAGGGAGCGCAGGCGGGAAGACAAGUUGGAAGUGAAAUCCAUGGGCUCAACCCAUGAACUGCUUUCAAAACUGUUUUUCUUGGGUAGUGCAGAGGUAGGCGGAAUUCCCGGUGUAGCGGUGGAAUGCGUAGAUAUCGGGAGGAACACCAGUGGCGAAGGCGGCCUACUGGGCACCAACUGACGCUGAGGCUCGAAAGUGUGGGUAGCAAACAGGAUUAGAUACCCUGGUAGUCCAAGGGCGAAUUC